AUACCACUUGUUGCCUCGGCGGAUCAGCCCGCUCCCGGUAAAACGGGACGGCCCGCCAGAGGACCCCUAAAACUCUGUUUCUAUAUGUAACUUCUGAGUAAAACCAUAAAUAAAUCAAAACUUUCAACAACGGAUCUCUUGGUUCUGGCAUCGAUGAAGAACGCAGCAAAAUGCGAUAAGUAAUGUGAAUUGCAGAAUUCAGUGAAUCAUCGAAUCUUUGAACGCACAUUGCGCCCGCCAGUAUUCUGGCGGGCAUGCCUGUUCGAGCGUCAUUUCAACCCUCAAGCACAGCUUGGUGUUGGGACUCGCGUUAAUUCGCGUUCCUCAAAUUGAUUGGCGGUCACGUCGAGCUUCCAUAGCGUAGUAGUAAAACCCUCGUUACUGGUAAUCGUCGCGGCCACGCCGUUAAACCCCAACUUCUGAAUGUUGACCUCGGAUCAGGUAGGAAUACCCGCUGAACUUAAGCAUAUCAA
Molecule: ribosomal RNA, 473 nt
Filed under: Fusarium oxysporum
Lineage: Eukaryota; Fungi; Ascomycota; Sordariomycetes; Hypocreales; Nectriaceae
Description: eukaryotic LSU rRNA
Rfam family: 5.8S ribosomal RNA (bases 119-272)
Source: RNAcentral